ACGUAGGGUGCGAGCGUUAAUCGGAAUUACUGGGCGUAAAGCGUGCGCAGGCGGUUUUGUAAGACAGAUGUGAAAUCCCCGGGCUCAACCUGGGACCUGCAUUUGUGACUGCAAGGCUAGAGUACGGUAGAGGGGGAUGGAAUUCCGAGUGUAGAGGUGAAAUUCGUAGAUAUUCGGAGGAACACCAGUGGCGAAGGCGGCUCACUGGUCCAUUACUGACGCUGAGGUACGAAAGCGUGGGGAGCAAACAGGA
Molecule: ribosomal RNA, 253 nt
Filed under: uncultured prokaryote
Description: partial 16S ribosomal RNA
Rfam family: Bacterial small subunit ribosomal RNA
Source: RNAcentral